CAGUCGCCGCGGUAAUGCGAAGGGUGCAAGCGUUACUCGGAAUUACUGGGCGUAAAGCGUGCGUAGGUGGUGGUUUAAGUCCGUUGUGAAAGCCCUGGGCUCAACCUGGGAAUUGCAGUGGAUACUGGGUCACUAGAGUGUGGUAGAGGAUAGUGGAAUUUCCGGUGUAGCAGUGAAAUGCGUAGAGAUCGGAAGGAACAUCUGUGGCGAAGGCGACUAUCUGGGCCAACACUGACACUGAGGCACGAAAGCGUGGGGAGCAAACAGGAUUAGAUACCCCAGUAGUCCCUGUCUCUUAUAC
RNAcentral lists this ribosomal RNA (301 nucleotides) under uncultured bacterium. Its description in RNAcentral is "partial 16S ribosomal RNA". It matches the Rfam family "Bacterial small subunit ribosomal RNA", at positions 509 to 807 of the family's 1533-position model. The record is from RNAcentral.